GAUGAACGCUAGCGACAGGCUUAACACAUGCAAGUCGAGGGGCAGCAUAGAAGUAGCAAUACUUUGGUGGCGACCGGCGCACGGGUGAGUAACGCGUAUGCAACCUACCUAUCAGAGGGGAAUAACCCGGCGAAAGUCGGACUAAUACCGCAUAAAACAGGGGCACCGCAUGGUGAUAUUUGUUAAAGAAAUUCGCUGAUAGAUGGGCAUGCGUUCCAUUAGGUAGUUGGUGAGGUAACGGCUCACCAAGCCGACGAUGGAUAGGGGAACUGAGAGGUUGGUCCCCCACACUGGUACUGAGACACGGACCAGACUCCUACGGGAGGCAGCAGUGAGGAAUAUUGGUCAAUGGGCGGGAGCCUGAACCAGCCAAGUCGCGUGAAGGAAGAAGGAUCUAUGGUUCGUAAACUUCUUUUGCAGGGGAAUAAAGUGCAGGACGUGUCCUGUUUUGUAUGUACCCUGAGAAUAAGGAUCGGCUAACUCCGUG
RNAcentral lists this ribosomal RNA (487 nucleotides) under uncultured bacterium. Its description in RNAcentral is "bacterial SSU rRNA". It matches the Rfam family "Bacterial small subunit ribosomal RNA", at positions 28 to 507 of the family's 1533-position model. RNAcentral also lists the same sequence under 1 other name. The record is from RNAcentral.